RNAcentral lists this ribosomal RNA (1052 nucleotides) under Sordariomycetes sp. genotype 32. RNAcentral describes it as "eukaryotic LSU rRNA". The stretch from base 492 to 1052 matches the Rfam family "Eukaryotic large subunit ribosomal RNA", at positions 1 to 574 of the family's 3401-position model. Lineage: Eukaryota; Fungi; Ascomycota; Sordariomycetes. The record is from RNAcentral.
UACAAGAAGCCGAAAGGCUACUUCAAACCAUCGCGAACUCGUCCAAGUUGCUUCGGCGGCGCGGCACCCCUUAACGGGGGCGCCGCAGCCCUGCCUCUCCGGAGGUUCGGGGCGCCCGCCGGAGGUACGAAACUCUGUAUUAUAGUGGCAUCUCUGAGUAUAAAACAAAUAAGUUAAAACUUUCAACAACGGAUCUCUUGGUUCUGGCAUCGAUGAAGAACGCAGCGAAAUGCGAUAAGUAAUGUGAAUUGCAGAAUUCAGUGAAUCAUCGAAUCUUUGAACGCACAUUGCGCCCGGUAGUACUCUACCGGGCAUGCCUGUUCGAGCGUCAUUUCAACCCUCAAGCCCUGCUUGGUGUUGGGGCCCUACGGCUGCCGUAGGCCCUGAAAGGAAGUGGCGGGCUCGCUACAACUCCGAGCGUAGUAAUUCAUUAUCUCGCUAGGGAAGUUGCGGCGUGCUCCUGCCGUUAAAGACCCAUCUUUAACCAAGGUUGACCUCGGAUCAGGUAGGAAUACCCGCUGAACUUAAGCAUAUCAAUAAGCGGAGGAAAAGAAACCAACAGGGAUUGCCCUAGUAACGGCGAGUGAAGCGGCAACAGCUCAAAUUUGAAAUCUGGCUUCGGCCCGAGUUGUAAUUUGUAGAGGAUGCUUUUGGUGAGGUGCCUUCUGAGUUCCCUGGAACGGGACGCCAGAGAGGGUGAGAGCCCCGUAUAGUCGGCCACCGAUCCUUUGUAAAGCUCCUUCGACGAGUCGAGUAGUUUGGGAAUGCUGCUCAAAAUGGGAGGUAUAUCUCUUCUAAAGCUAAAUAUAGGCCAGAGACCGAUAGCGCACAAGUAGAGUGAUCGAAAGAUGAAAAGCACUUUGAAAAGAGGGUUAAAUAGCACGUGAAAUUGUUGAAAGGGAAGCGCUUGUGACCAGACUUGUGCCGGGCUGAUCAUCCAGUGUUCUCACUGGUGCACUCGACCCGGCUCAGGCCAGCGUCGGUUUUCGUGGGGGGAUAAAAGCUUCGGGAACGUGGCACCUUCGGGUGUGUUAUAGCCCGUUGCUUAAUAC